This 77-nucleotide transfer RNA is filed under the name Desulfovibrio sp. Its description in RNAcentral is "tRNA-Pro(tgg)". It matches the Rfam family "tRNA". Rfam says of the family: Transfer RNA (tRNA) molecules are approximately 80 nucleotides in length. Their secondary structure includes four short double-helical elements and three loops (D, anti-codon, and T loops). Further hydrogen bonds mediate the characteristic L-shaped molecular structure. tRNAs have two regions of fundamental functional importance: the anti-codon, which is responsible for specific mRNA codon recognition, and the 3' end, to which the tRNAs corresponding amino acid is attached (by aminoacyl-tRNA synthetases). tRNAs cope with the degeneracy of the genetic code in two manners: having more than one tRNA (with a specific anti-codon) for a particular amino acid; and 'wobble' base-pairing, i.e. permitting non-standard base-pairing at the 3rd anti-codon position. The record is from RNAcentral. RNAcentral also lists the same sequence under 4 other names. Lineage: Bacteria; Pseudomonadati; Thermodesulfobacteriota; Desulfovibrionia; Desulfovibrionales; Desulfovibrionaceae.
CGGAGCGUGGCGCAGUCUGGUAGCGCACCUGCUUUGGGAGCAGGGGGUCGCUGGUUCGAAUCCAGUCGCUCCGACCA